RNAcentral lists this ribosomal RNA (535 nucleotides) under uncultured bacterium. RNAcentral's name for it is "bacterial SSU rRNA". It matches the Rfam family "Bacterial small subunit ribosomal RNA", at positions 777 to 1304 of the family's 1533-position model. The record is from RNAcentral.
AAUAGAUACCCUGGUAGUCCACGCCGUAAACGGUGGGCACUAGGUGUGGGCGACAUUCCACGUCGUCCGUGCCGCAGCUAACGCAUUAAGUGCCCCGCCUGGGGAGUACGGCCGCAAGGCUAAAACUCAAAGGAAUUGACGGGGGCCCGCACAAGCGGCGGAGCAUGUGGCUUAAUUCGACGCAACGCGAAGAACCUUACCAAGGCUUGACAUACACCGGAAACGUCCAGAGAUGGGCGCCCCCUUGUGGUCGGUGUACAGGUGGUGCAUGGCUGUCGUCAGCUCGCGUCGUGAGAUGUUGGGUUAAGUCCCGCAACGAGCGCAACCCUUGUCCCGUGUUGCCAGCAGGCCCUUGUGGUGCUGGGGACUCACGGGAGACCGCCGGGGUCAACUCGGGAGGAAGGUGGGGACGACGUCAAGUCAUCAUGCCCCUUAUGUCUUGGGCUGCACACGUGCUACAAUGGCCGGUACAAUGAGCUGCGAUACCGCGAGGUGGAGCGAAUCUCAAAAAGCCGGUNUCAGUUCGGAUUGGGGU